RNAcentral lists this ribosomal RNA (549 nucleotides) under uncultured bacterium. RNAcentral's name for it is "partial 16S ribosomal RNA". It matches the Rfam family "Bacterial small subunit ribosomal RNA", at positions 355 to 914 of the family's 1533-position model. The record is from RNAcentral.
UGGGGAAUAUUGCACAAUGGGCGCAAGCCUGAUGCAGCAACGCCGCGUGAGGGACGACGGCCUUCGGGUUGUAAACCUCUUUUAGUAGGGAAGAAGCGAAAGUGACGGUACCUGCAGAAAAAGCACCGGCUAACUACGUGCCAGCAGCCGCGGUAAUACGUAGGGUGCGAGCGUUGUCCGGAAUUAUUGGGCGUAAAGAGCUCGUAGGCGGUCUGUCGCGUCUGCUGUGAAAACCCGAGGCUCAACCUCGGGCCUGCAGUGGGUACGGGCAGACUAGAGUGCGGUAGGGGAGAAUGGAAUUCCUGGUGUAGCGGUGGAAUGCGCAGAUAUCAGGAGGAACACCGAUGGCGAAGGCAGUUCUCUGGGCCGUAACUGACGCUGAGGAGCGAAAGCGUGGGGAGCGAACAGGAUUAGAUACCCUGGUAGUCCACGCCGUAAACGUUGGGCGCUAGAUGUGGGGACCAUUCCACGGUUUCCGUGUCGCAGCUAACGCAUUAAGCGCCCCGCCUGGGGAGUACGGCCGCAAGGCUAAAACUCAAAGGAAUUGAC